RNAcentral lists this ribosomal RNA (556 nucleotides) under uncultured bacterium. RNAcentral describes it as "partial 16S ribosomal RNA". It matches the Rfam family "Bacterial small subunit ribosomal RNA", at positions 355 to 928 of the family's 1533-position model. The record is from RNAcentral.
UGGGGAAUAUUGGACAAUGGGCGCAAGCCUGAUCCAGCCAUGCCGCGUGAGUGAUGAAGGCCUUAGGGUUGUAAAGCUCUUUCGCCGACGAAGAUAAUGACGGUAGUCGGAGAAGAAGCCCCGGCUAACUUCGUGCCAGCAGCCGCGGUAAUACGAAGGGGGCUAGCGUUGUUCGGAAUCACUGGGCGUAAAGCGCACGUAGGCGAAUUGUUAAGUCAGGGGUGAAAGCCUGGAGCUCAACUCCAGAACUGCCCUUGAUACUGGCAAUCUCGAGUCCGGAAGAGGUAAGUGGAACUGCGAGUGUAGAGGUGAAAUUCGUAGAUAUUCGCAAGAACACCAGUGGCGAAGGCGGCUUACUGGUCCGGUACUGACGCUGAGGUGCGAAAGCGUGGGGAGCAAAACAGGAUUAGAUACCCUGGUAGUCCACGCCGUAAACGAUGGAGGCUAGCCGUUGGCGAGCAUGCUCGUCAGUGGCGCAGCUAACGCAUUAAGCCUCCCGCCUGGGGAGUACGGUCGCAAGAUUAAAACUCAAAGGAAUUGACGGGGGUCAUAGCUG